UCUAGAUAUGCAAUGAAGCAACAUAUAUUACCAGCUUUGCACAUACAUGUGAUAUAUUGGUCGAGGCCUUGAUGCAUCCAUUCCAACAUAUGCGAUUAUGGCCUGGAAUCCCAUCGAAUAUACAUCAAACAAAACUACCAAUAGAGAAGUCGUGAAUUUAUGGUUUAUGCAAGGACUAGACACCACAGAGCGAACCAUUGCGACUCCUAUGUUCGAACACGAGACACCACAUGAAACAUACAUUGUACCAUCUUGGAGCCACUGCGUUUUAUUGCGCACAUCAUCCAAAACAAUCUUAUAAGCGGCUCACAGUCAUGCCGUGCAUGCUAAAGGGCGUUGAGCCACCAUCUCUUUCUUAUUUGGGAUUUUAGAAUCCUCUUAUAUGUGACAAGUUUCUUUCCUUUUAUUAUUAUUCCUAUGGUUCAACCCAAAUUGUUAUCAGUCUUGAAAAUAAUUCUCAAACAUAUAUCACUCUAAAAAUUCUUGUC
This 488-nucleotide long non-coding RNA is filed under the name Helianthus annuus (common sunflower). Lineage: Eukaryota; Viridiplantae; Streptophyta; Magnoliopsida; Asterales; Asteraceae. The record is from RNAcentral.